AAUCAAGGGGGCAUGGCAUUUCAGAAUGUUAAAUCAUAUUACCAGGCCGCAGUCCUAACUUCCCUAGCAACACAUCUCAUUAGAGCCAACCAGCCCCAAAGAGUGGACAUGGAAAACUUGGCAAUCAAACCCUUCAAUAUCCCUAACCUGAUGUGACUAGACAAAAAGACUAGACCAGACACCCCACUCAUGCCAAUUUAACUCAAAUUAGCAAUACAAUUCUGGGAUGUGCAUAAGCAAAAAUUUGAAACAGCUAGCCCUCUCUCUCUAGCGACCCCAUAGAAGCCAUUACCUACUGCAUCUCAAC
Non-coding RNA from Pelobates cultripes (western spadefoot toad), 307 nucleotides. Lineage: Eukaryota; Metazoa; Chordata; Amphibia; Anura; Pelobatidae. The record is from the annotation of a GenBank genome assembly.